CACCGCCCGUCACGUCAUGAAAGUCAGAAACGCCUGAAGUCGGUGAGCCAACCUUCGGGAGGCAGCUGCCGAGGGCGGAGCUGGCGAUUGGGACG
Molecule: ribosomal RNA, 95 nt
Filed under: uncultured bacterium
Lineage: Bacteria
Description: partial 16S ribosomal RNA
Rfam family: Bacterial small subunit ribosomal RNA
Source: RNAcentral